RNAcentral lists this ribosomal RNA (2546 nucleotides) under groundwater metagenome. RNAcentral describes it as "bacterial LSU rRNA". It matches the Rfam family "Bacterial large subunit ribosomal RNA", at positions 491 to 2129 of the family's 2925-position model. The record is from RNAcentral.
UGAACGAGUACCGUGAGGGAAAGGUGAAAAGCACCCCGGUGAGGGGAAUGAAAUAGUAUCUGAAACCAUACGCUUACAAGCAGUUGUAGCCUGGCCUACGUUCCUCAUUGCAUUCGGAACUUCGGCAGGCAAGCCUCGCUCAAUCAAUUGAGCAACGCAGGGGCUUGCCCGCCGUAGCAAACGAGCGCAGCGAGGAGCGUAGGCGGGUAACAGCGUGCCUAUUGAAGAAUGAACCUACGAGUUGUUUCGUCCGACGAAGAUUAAGGUCGAGUAGACCGAAGUCGCAGUGAAAGCGAGCCUUCAAUGGCGUUGUUCUGAUUGAGUCUGCUACCGAGCCAAAGUCCUAAGAUCAUAUCGAAGGAUCUCUCGGUGGUUGACUCAUGAUGAACUAGUCGUCCGAAACAGACCCGAAGCCGUGUGAGCUACCCAUGACCAGGAUGAAGCGACAGUAACAUGUCGUGGAGGUCCGAACCCGUGAGUCGUGCAACGCUCUGGGAUGAGUUGUGGGUAGAGGAGAAAUUCCAAUCGAACUCGGCGAUAGCUGGUUCUCCGCGAAAUAGUUUUUGGACUAGCGUUAGAUGUUUCAUCAUGGUGGUAGAGCACUGAAUGGGAUUACGUGGCGCAAGCCUAGUGAUUCCAACCAAACUCCGAAUGCCGUGAUGGCAAAGUCUAGCAGUCAGUCCGUGGGGGCUAAGCUCCACCGGACGUGAGGGGAAGAACCCAGAUCUCCAACCAAGGUCCCUAAAUCGAUGCUCAGUGUGUAAAGGUAGUCUUGGGGCUCAAACAACCAGGAGGUUGGCUUAGAAGCAGCCAUUCUUUAAAGAAAGCGUAAUAGCUCACUGGUCGAGCCCCGGGGCGCCGAAAAUGUACCGGGACUUAAGCAUCGUACCGCAGUUGAGGAUUGUAGAAUCAGUGAUGAUUCUGCAGUGGUAGCGGAGCGUUCUGUCUGCGCUGAAGCGGGUCGCGCGAGCAACCGUGGAGCGGACAGAAGUGAGAAUGUAGGUAUAAGUAGCAUAACAGCGGGUGAAAACCCCGCUCGCCGUAAACCCAAGGUUUCCUGGGCAACGCAAAUCGUCCCAGGGUGAGUCGGGCCUAAGCCGAGGCCGAAAGGCGUAGGUGAUGGACAGCAGGUUAAUAUUCCUGCACGGUGACGUGAUUAUCCCAGUGAUGACGCAGGUUCGGAUUCUGCAGGUUCUUUGGUUAUGUGCCUGCCGCAAGGCGCAGACUGGUCCGCGAGGACUGGCCAAUGCAGGAAAAGAAUCGGCCGAGAAAAGUCACUGGGUUACGUCACGGCAUCCCCGUACCGUAAACCGACACAGGUGGGUGGGCAGCAAAUCUGCCAAGGCGUACGAGAGAACCCUCGUUUAGGAACUCGGCAAAACAGUGGCCGUACCUUCGGUACAUGGCCUACCCGCUCGCAAGAGUGGGUUGCAAUAAAUGACGUCAACCGACUGUUUACCAAAAACACAGGUCCCUGCUAAAGCGCAAGCUGAUGUAUAGGGGCUGAUGCCUGGCCAGUGUCAGAACGUUAAGGGGAGGGGUGCAAGCCCUGAUCUGAAGCGCUGAUGAACGCCGGCGGUAACUAUAAACAUGGACGAUUGUAGUUACUAAAAUAAAUCUGGCCAUAUGCUGGAAACACCGUAGUAUUCUUGACUACUCGCGAUGGCGGUAUUAUCCUGACGGUAGUACUACCCGCAGUAACAAUGUCAAUGAUGCGGUCAAUCAGCAGGAAAGACCAGAACUCGUUCGAUUCAAUCCCCCAUGACCUUGCCUGGUACUUGGUGGGGUUUGCUGAUGGAGAAGGAAGUUUCAACAUUUCCUUUAAGCGACAGCCGGAUGUGCGACUAGGGUGGAAACCCGCUCCAAGUUUCAACGUCUCGCAACGCGAUGACUCUAUCUGCAAGCUCUUUCUCAGGACCUUCGAGGUGGGAACAAUCCGAUAUCGAAAAGAUGGUGUCUGCUAUUACGAAGUUCGUUCAAUCGCAGACCUAGAAAAGAAGGUCAUCCCCUUCUUUGAAUGUUUUCCACUCCGCUCAUGGAAACGGCAUGACUUUCUGGUUUUUACCAGAAUCAUUCGACUGAUGAGCACCGGAAAUCAUCUUACGAUCAACGGGUUGAAGAUUAUUCUCCGAUUGAGAAAUCAAAUGAAUCGAGGCGGUAAUCGUAAGAUUACUGAUCAAGCGAUCAUCGUAUCACUCCGAGCUCUGGAAUCCUCAGAGACUAUACGCCAGACGUCGCUCCGUGAAAGCGGAACAUGACGAUGAUAUAGUCCGAUCUUUCCCGCCAACUUAGCGGGAUCUCAUUGAAUUGCUGAAAACGAUUUGAUGGGGCAUGGCGACAUGAAGCUAACAAAUACAAUGAACCGUCCUAAGGUAGCGAAAUUCCUUGUCGGGUAAGUUCCGACCUGCACGAAUGGCAUAACGAGUUGACGACUCUCUCAACGAGGGACUCGGCGAAAUUACAAGACGAGUAAAGAUGCUCGUUACCCACAGUUAGACGAAAAGACCCCGUGAAGCUUUACUAUAACUUGGCAUUGCUUUCACGAU